CCGGAAGGAGUAUUUCAUAACAGUCUUACAUUAAAUGCGUUCUAGAAAGAUGUUUGAAUUUUCCUUUUUUUCUUCCUUUGCAUAGCUUUUUCUCUGUUCUUUCUUUGUAGCAGCAGUGAUGAUAGAAGAGAAACAGUAAUGAUGGUGACAGUGACAGUGAUAAUGUAGUGCAAUGGUGAAGGUUGUCUGCUUUGUGGAGACUUUCCCGUGCAUAGCUGUGUUGUGGUGUGUGGUCUCUGAAAACUAUGGUGAAUGUGUUGCUGUUGGUGAGGUCCAGGGAAGUGGUGCGAUUUGUACAACUGAAGCACAUUGUGGGAUAUAGGAAAACAAAUAUGGUUUUCAUUUUCGAGGUACGUUCUAGGUUACUGGAAAACAGAGCAGGUUUUCGGAAAACAUGAACCAAAACAGAGGUGGGAGGGGUUACUAAUUCCGGAGUUGUAGUAUAUGGUUCCAAAAAAUUUCAUUCCAUAAUAGUCGAGUUGAUUUUUCUGAAAACGCAAACCGGAAACGAGAAUCCAAAGUACUUGCCGAAAAAAACUUUUUGGAUGGUCUCGGAAUCAUCUUUUCGAUACAUAUUUUCAUAACCAAAAUGGACAGACAUUGGUAAAGAGUCAGAGGAAGAACCCAAAUUCCCGAAGAACAAAGAUGUUGGUUUCGUGAAGAUGAUUCUCACUAAGUCCAUGGUGGUUGAAACCUUUUGUGAAUACCCUCCACUUGGUCAUUUUGCUGUGAAAGAUCUGUGUAAAAAAUGUAUCAAC
This 758-nucleotide small RNA is filed under the name Vigna angularis var. angularis. RNAcentral's name for it is "Non-protein coding transcript". The record is from RNAcentral. Lineage: Eukaryota; Viridiplantae; Streptophyta; Magnoliopsida; Fabales; Fabaceae.